RNAcentral lists this long non-coding RNA (1396 nucleotides) under Homo sapiens (human). Its description in RNAcentral is "HSALNT0402218". Lineage: Eukaryota; Metazoa; Chordata; Mammalia; Primates; Hominidae. The record is from RNAcentral.
CCCACCGCCCGCCCCUUUCCACAAAUGCCACCAAUCAAGCCAUUUCUUUCUCAAGGGGAACUGAGUGAUUUGCAGGGUUUGGGGAAGGUUGCCUGUGCCUAAAGCAUCAUUCCGUCCCACUCUGGACUCAGGAUGGGCAACAGCUCAUCUCUGCUUGGUAAGGUCUACAGCUUCAACUGAGGACUUUAAUCCUGAGGGUAACUCAAGAGCAGGAGCAGGAAACAUCAGCGGCCAUCCUCACUCCUGCAUGUCUGGCCAUUGGUGCUGCCUGUCAGGUUAUGCUGGAGUGGUGCAGUGUUACUCUUGAAACCUGGUGCUACAAGGCAACAUGUUUCUUCCUUGCUGGUGAGACAUUUGUUCUCUGACGUCUUAGGUGCUGUGCACGGAGCUCGACUAUCCUGAAUCCACCAUGAUUCGACCUCAUGUCAGUCCUUUGGCUGCCAGCCCAGUUCAACUCCAAGCUGAUGACCAGUGUCGACCGCCAGUCAUUCUGAACAUUUGACCAGUUGAGCUUUCAAAUGAUGGCAGUCCUGGCUGACAUUUUGGGUGAACAAUAUGAGAGACUGACUGGUUGAGCCCUUCCCAAAUUUCUGACCCACAACAUUGUGAGAAAAAUAAUCUUAAGCCUCUCAGUUUGGGGACAAUUUGUUACUCAGCAAUAGAAAUGAAAAUAUGAUCUCAGUAGGACCAUGUGACUUGCAGCAACCAGGGUGACAAUGAACGUCCCUGCAGAUACCCGAGGAGGGGACGCAUGAAGGUUCCCUAGGUGCCCUGUAAAUCUACAGCUUCCUGCUUUCCUCUGCCACAAACACAUGACACGCUGUACCUCUACACCUAAUCUUUUGGUUUGGAAAGGAACGGAAGGUGAUAGAAAUCUGAAAGUUGCGACUGAGGUUUACCAUCCUAAACACAUUAUUUCAGGAGACUAACUCCAAGAUGAUUGGCAUGAACUAGAAUUUUUCUCCCCUUUCUUAUAAAGCAAAUGGGACAGCUCAGGAGGAAGAUCGGAGCAGUUAUAUACAAAAAAUUAACACACAAAUGAAGCAACCACGUGGCCUCUGUGUAUAUGGAGAAAAGUGUGAGCAAAUGUGGGGCCCUAAUACAGAAUGUCAGCCAGGAAGACGAGGAAGGCAGACCUCCCUAGAACAGUGGUACAAGACAUUGGUGGUCAUCUUAACAGAUGUGCACUGACUGAUAUCCUUCAGAAUAGGAAGGAAAUGUGAGAUCUUAAGAAGGAAUUCUAGGGGAGGUCUCAGCUUUACCCCCUGUGACUUGCACUUGGUCAGUAUACAACUUAUUCUUCCCACCAGAGUGAUAGAAAGAAAAAAAGAAACUGAGUUCUGUAUGUUGAGAAAUAUCAUCUUGGCCUUUAAAUUAUUUUAAAAUUAUAGCAACA